This 579-nucleotide ribosomal RNA is filed under the name Nocardioidaceae bacterium BvIRR159. RNAcentral describes it as "bacterial SSU rRNA". It matches the Rfam family "Bacterial small subunit ribosomal RNA", at positions 102 to 694 of the family's 1533-position model. RNAcentral also lists the same sequence under 3 other names. The record is from RNAcentral. Lineage: Bacteria; Bacillati; Actinomycetota; Actinomycetes; Propionibacteriales; Nocardioidaceae.
ACGGGUGAGUAACACGUGAGCAAUCUGCCCUUCACUUUGGGAUAACUUCCGGAAACGGAAGCUAAUACCGAAUACGACCACUUCACGCAUGUGAUGGUGGUGGAAAGUUCCGGCGGUGAAGGAUGAGCUCGCGGCCUAUCAGCUUGUUGGUGAGGUAAUGGCUCACCAAGGCUUCGACGGGUAGCCGGCCUGAGAGGGUGACCGGCCACACUGGGACUGAGACACGGCCCAGACUCCUACGGGAGGCAGCAGUGGGGAAUAUUGGACAAUGGGCGAAAGCCUGAUCCAGCAACGCCGCGUGAGGGAUGACUGCCUUCGGGUUGUAAACCUCUUUCAGCGGGGACGAAGCGAAAGUGACGGUACCCGCAGAAGAAGCACCGGCCAACUACGUGCCAGCAGCCGCGGUAAUACGUAGGGUGCGAGCGUUGUCCGGAAUUAUUGGGCGUAAAGGGCUCGUAGGCGGUUUGUCACGUCGGGAGUGAAAACUCAGGGCUCAACCCUGAGCCUGCUUCCGAUACGGGCAGACUAGAGGUAUGCAGGGGAGAACGGAAUUCCUGGUGUAGCGGUGAAAUGCGCAGA